GACGAACGCUGGCGGCGUGCUUAACACAUGCAAGUCGAAUGAAGAGCGAUGGAAGCUUGCUUCUAUCAAUCUUAGUGGCGAACGGGUGAGUAACGCGUAAUCAACCUGCCCUUCAGAGGGGGACAACAGUUGGAAACGACUGCUAAUACCGCAUACGAUCUAAUCUCGGCAUCGAGGAUAGAUGAAAGGUGGCCUCUACAUGUAAGCUAUCACUGAAGGAGGGGAUUGCGUCUGAUUAGCUAGUUGGAGGGGUAACGGCCCACCAAGGCGAUGAUCAGUAGCCGGUCUGAGAGGAUGAACGGCCACAUUGGGACUGAGACACGGCCCAGACUCCUACGGGAGGCAGCAGUGGGGAAUCUUCCGCAAUGGACGAAAGUCUGACGGAGCAACGCCGCGUGAGCGAUGACGGCCUUCGGGUUGUAAAGCUCUGUUAAUCGGGACGAAAGGCCUUCUUGCGAAUAGUGAGAAGGAUUGACGGUACCGGAAUAGAAAGCCACGGCUAACUACGUG
Molecule: ribosomal RNA, 510 nt
Filed under: uncultured bacterium
Lineage: Bacteria
Description: partial 16S ribosomal RNA
Rfam family: Bacterial small subunit ribosomal RNA
Source: RNAcentral